GGGCCCUUAGCUCAGUGGUUAGAGCGCUCGGCUCAUAACCGAGUGGUCGCCGGUUCGAACCCGGCAGGGCCCA
This 73-nucleotide transfer RNA is filed under the name Natronomonas moolapensis 8.8.11. RNAcentral describes it as "tRNA-Ile2 (CAT) (tRNA-Ile2-CAT-1-1)". It matches the Rfam family "tRNA". Rfam says of the family: Transfer RNA (tRNA) molecules are approximately 80 nucleotides in length. Their secondary structure includes four short double-helical elements and three loops (D, anti-codon, and T loops). The record is from RNAcentral. Lineage: Archaea; Methanobacteriati; Methanobacteriota; Halobacteria; Halobacteriales; Natronomonadaceae.